This is a long non-coding RNA of Anopheles merus, 1163 nucleotides long. RefSeq lists it as uncharacterized. The transcript is spliced from 3 exons. The record is from RefSeq and is a predicted model, not a curated record. NCBI's taxonomy places the organism in Eukaryota, Metazoa, Arthropoda, Insecta, Diptera, Culicidae.
UUACUUUGUGUUCUUCACUCUCGCGCUGUGUUGUGAUCGUUCGAAACUCAUUGCCAGAACGAAUGCAAAUUUCAUUUGGGAAGGAUCGGUGUCGGAAGAUGCAGUGAAAAUUAUGAAAUGUUAAUAGAAAAGUGAUUAAGUAAAUCGUGAAAGAUGUCAACGCAGGCGUAAAUGGAGUUUGUUUUGUUACAUGAUCUACGGCUAUUUCAUCACCAAAGCUCCUGAUAACAGAUCAAAGCAGAUGGAUAGGGCAUACAGAGUCGCCGUUUAAUUUAAAAUAUCUUCGUGAUCGGCAAACACAUCAAACAGCAUGUUUUUUUUCAACAGCACGCACCAUCGGUGGAGCAAGCAGCUAAAGUUUUGUUCGCCCAGCACGCACCAUCAAGUAUUGAAAUAUUUUCAAAUAGCUUUGUGAAUAAAAAACUGCACACUUACUGUCGAAAUUUCCUGGAAUUUUUGGUCGGGCUACGCUCGCGGGAAUGGUGUGUCCGUUGAGGAGAAGGAAAGAAAUGGUGGGAGUGAGGAUUAACCAAAAACGCGGCAUUGAGAAUGAGGGGAGGUGUGCUCAGUGCUCACGUUGGGACACUCACGAUGCUUGAAAUAAAAUGUUAACAAGCAUCGAUUUCAAGCAUGCAUGUCGCGCGACAUUUUGCCAAGCGGGUGUCGCUUCUCCGGCGAUAGCGCGUUGUAUGAUCGUUCCUGCCUUCUUUCAUCUCCUGUUCUGUUGUUUUCGGCGCUCCUAGGGAUAGAGGGAAAUAUUAACUAUUUUGCCAACAGCUGUUCAAUUUAACGUCAAGCACAAUACUUACCAACCAAUUGAAUAUUGCUUCUAUCAUGGUCCGUGCUCACUUCCGUUCGUGCAUGUGUUACGGUUUCUUUAAAAAUGAAAUUGAUUUUAUACCACAAUUAUUAAUACAACUCAGUUUGAUACAGAUUGAUGUAACCCUCUAUUAAAAGCUGUACUUACCAAAUAGUUUGAAAAAAAAACGAAAAAAACGGGCACGCAUCGACGUCCUACCACUUGCAAACUUGAUUUCACACUAUCACAUUUUCAUGUAAACGCGAAGCAGCGCCUUCCUCGUGUGGCUAUACAGGUAUACCCCGAUAUACGCCAUACUCGAUAUACGCGAUUUCGCUAUACGCUUUUUUCUAAAUUUGACAGU